AAAUCAUCACCCAAAAACAAAUUAGAACCCAAAUAUUUCCAUUUAUCUGAAACAGGUCCAAUACCCAAUUUUGAUAAAAAAAAAAGGAAGGAGAAAAUUCCAUAACCAUCACCAAAUCGAAAUUUUCCUAAAUCGUUCUCCACCUUUUACGCCUCAAUCGAUAAAAUCGGAGAAACAGAAGCCGUUUAUGGAGUUAUUUUCCUCCACUUCUCAGAACUUCAGCGCCUCAAAGACAGAAUCAGCGAUGAAACCUAAAUCCUCCGAAUCUCACCGCUUGACAAGAAUCAGAGAAAUCGAAGCCGUGGAAGCCGUCUACGGCAUUAUUUUCCUCCACCGCUGCUAACUUAACAGCCUCAAACACUGAUCCAGCGAUAUAAGCACAAAUCCUAAGUAUCUAACCGCCUGCACCGAUGAACAUGGACAAGCAGAAGACGCAAACGGAGACAAAAUCCUAUCCAUCACCAGAAAAAGGCCAUAAAAUGACAGGUAUAUUAAACAAAAUUGUAAGCCUCAGUCUAUGCCCUAAACUACAUUGAUGUGUAUUUUUCGAGCUUUUAUAUCAAUGAACUAAUAACACACAAGUAUAUCAAAUAGCUCUAAAAUUACAACCUUUCUACAAGAGUACAGAUGUAGUUGUAGUAAAAGAGUGUCGAACCACAGAGAGACGUAGGUUCUUUAAUUUGAGAUUGAUAAAAUAAAAUUUGAUAAAGAGAUGAUAAAACACACAAAGAUAAACAAAACACAAAAUUUAGAAAAUAGGAUAAGAAGAAAGCAUUGCUCCUAUAUGUCUCGGGCAUAUGAAUUGGGAUACUUCGAUGGAUUACUACGAUCAAGACUAUGCUUAAGAGGAUUAAGUUUGUUUUACGCUCCCUAUCCGUUGAACACUUCAAGGGAACUGUAUACCUAGGAUAAGCUGAACACGUCUCCAAAGUUCUACUCACUAACCUAUCACCACUACUAGGUCGCGUAGUAAGCUUUAGAUUAGUUUCUUCAAUUGUCAAACACGAUAAUUAAAUCAUAUAUUAACUUAAUGCCCACACGGAAGCGCAACAGACACCAAACCAAAUUUACAGAUAAAAACUAUCGAUCCACUCGAGACUAUCUCUCUGAACAAGUAUCAAAUCUCGAGUUCCUUGCAUAUGAGUAAUGACCAAAAUCUAUGCUAAAGAGGCAAUAGAAUAAUGGCUACAAAAUUCUACCUAUGUAGACGUCUCAAGAUUAGUAGAAUAAUUAAACAAUUCAUAAACAAGAAUCACACAUAAAUUAAACCAUAAAAGUCAUCAAAGUAUCCAACAAUUCACCCUACAACAUAUUCAGAGCAACAAAGAAGAUCUAGCCAAACAUACUAAAAUGAAUUACACCAAAAGAACCGUGAACCGUGAACUCCAUGGUGUUCUCCAACUCUAGAUGAUGGAUGAUCUCCGGAGUGAAGGUUUGGAUCUUUCCUUCCUCUUCUCUUUUCUUUCUUCUUUCUCCAAUUUCUUGUCUCUGUUUCUUUUCGCCAAAACGUGCCUUCUCCCUCCUUUGUAUACAAAUUUUGCACUUUAACUGUGGGAAAGGAAACCGCCGCAAGAAACUGCUGAUUUGCAGUUAGAGUUCCUACGCCCGACCGGGCAGAAUGAUAGUAAAAAUCGCCCGACCGGGCGAAAUACUUCUGGACUUUCAAUGCAUUCUGUAACUGACCCGGGCGGGUGUUCAAACGGUGCUGGAUUGACCCGGACGGGUAUAAUACGCUGGAAUCUCCACACUUUGAAGAAGUGUCCUGGGCGGGCAGUGCGAUGGCUGCUGCUGUGCUGAAUUUGGAACUAUUACGCAGUGCACGCCAACUGUUUGGUGAAGUGUUUGAUGGAAUGUUUGAGCUCCAAUAAGUUUCUUACAUCCUAAACUCGAUGAAAACAAUAAUUUGAUGAGUCAUAAUCUACAUAAAAAUGUGUAGCAUUUAGGGGAAAAAUAUAGAAAAUAUGCUUCGCAUCAUACAUUCAUAUUUAAAUUCAUAUAUAUGUUAAACACCUUUACUAAAACAAAUCUGAUACUGGCAGGAAAUCAAAAGGAAGAAGCAUUUACAAAAAUAUAGCAGAUAUAUUACUUACUUGAACUCAAAAGUAUAUAUUGAUACUUAGUGGAAAACUCUUCAAAAUUACAGAUUGUUUUCCAACGUGUUAGUUACCAUCUUACAUUCUGCUUUGUAUGAACUUGGACUCUGUUAUAUAAACUUAAGUAAGUAUAAAACGAGUAUACUUAUUCUUGAAAGCAUCAGCUAUCCACCAAGUGCCUUAAUCGCCUUGAGUGAACCCCUGCGCCCUCUAACAUUUAGUGAUUACGAACUGGAAAAUGCUCUUGUAGGGUUCUCGUGACUGAUAGGGAUAAUCUCUAUCACAUGCAGUUUAUUAAAAAGAUCAUUUAAGUAUACUCAGAUUGAACACGCUUUUGUCUAACAAAUGAAGCUGACAGUGAAAGUACACUAAAAAUUUCUUAAUAUGUAAAGCAUACUCUGUAAACUUAAGAGAAAAGAGAUUAAAAAUAUCUAAACAGUCCUAUAAAAACAUAAAAUAAAACUGGUAUAAUGAACUACUGUAAAAAAAAACUUAAAUAGAAUAUUAAGGAAGAAUAAAACAUAACAUUAAAUCAUAAGUCAUAAGCUUAAAAGCUUAAUAAUAAGCUAAAAAGAUGAUCCCAAAAAAUAAAACUUAAACAUUGUCAUAACUUCAAAACACAAGCCAAAUGUCUUUAUAAGGAUCUACUCUCCACCAUUCACUUUCUGCCUUUUAAGAGCCUCAAAAUUAGUGUCAUCUUCACAUGCAUCAAACUCCAUAUCCAAGCAAUAGAUCAGACAACUUCACCUGAGAACUAACAGGUUCUGAAACAAAACCUUUAGGGAUAUAUUUUUCAACAAUUUCAAGAGUUUUACGGACUUUAUUCACAGUAAAUGGAUAGCUAACUGGAUAAUCAAAAUGAUCAUUCAGUUGGACUUUAAACAGAAAAUUCUGUCCAUAAAGCUUGUCCUCUAUCCUCCUAAGAAUGGAAUCAGUUAAAUGAAUCUGUAAAAAAAAAUUAAAAGAUAUAAAAAAUAUACAAAUUAUAAAAACUAUAGCAUUGUUUCUUAUUAGAUAUACCCAUCUGCAUCAACAAUAUCAUCAACUUUCCUAUCCAAUAGCUGAAAACCCUCUCUAUCCCAAAGCAGAAGUGAAACAUUGCUAGUGUCAUACCUGCUUCUAAACUUCUUAACCUCACUUAUUUCAGCAUUGAUAAAAACUUGGGAGGAAUUAAAAUGUGUAGACACAUGCAUCUCACCUAAAAAAAUAUAGUUAUUGAGAUAAUGAUUAAAAAAACUAAUAGAAAUCAAAACAAAUUAAAAAACUAAUGGAAACACAAAAAUAUCUAAAAACAAACAGAAAAAUAAAUACUAUUAGUUAAACAUAUUACCUUUAAACAUAUUUGGCCGACAAAAUUGAACAAUUAUAAUAGGCAAUGUUCCUUUACUUUUCUCCAACUGUUGAAGAUAAGAAUCAACGUUUGCAUCCCAAAUUGUGCAAAAGAUCCUGUUAUGACUGCAAUAAAAGGGAAAAACAAGAUUAAUAAGAUUAGAAACCUUGAUUAGAUAUUUUCACAUUGUUUUCAAACUUACUUCUCAUCUGCAAUGUCAACCUCAAUAAGUCUACAUUUAGGCUGACAUAGAACUCUCCCAGGUGCAACAAUCACUCCUAUUACAUCUGCAAAACUGAAAAGUAAAUAUCUGGAAAAAUUUAAAGUAACAAAAUACCCAAAAAUAUGCAAACAUAAUACCAAAAAAUGUUUCUUCAGCAGCUCUGUCAAGCCUUGUUAUCUCAUCAAAAUUUUUAAAUGCAAACCUAAAAUACUAGAAUUUAGAAUCUGUGACUUCAAACACUUCAGUUUUGGCAACCAUGGUGAGCCUAAAUUGGUGACUGGUGGUCUUGUUCUUGAGAUUGUUUGGUCUCACAAGAAAAUUCCUAAUGCAAAAUAUCCCUCCUUGGUUUAGCAGCCAUAUUCUGGCAUGAAAACCCUGGAAAUGAUGCUUGAAUCCUGGUGCCCUAUUAAUAAAAAUGACCAUAAUUUAGAGAAUGACAAUAUAUAUGUUAAAAAACUGAAAGUAAUCAAUAGUCUUUUUUUCUUAUAUUUUUUAUCUCCAUUAUAAGUGAUAUCUUUUUUAAUUAUAAUUUCAAUUUCAAAAUGUGAAGAAGUCAGAAAACAUACCACACGAUCAUGGAAGACAACUUCCAAGGUCUUAUCAUUCUUAUCUCUAGAAUUGUUCUCAUAAAGCCGGACACAACGGACCUUGAUGACAGAGGUAGGCACUUUAGGCAGAAGAUUAUUAACCAAGGUAAUUAAAGGUGUCAUUCUUCGGUUGAACUUUCUGCAGUAAAAAGAGAUAUUGAAAAAUUACAGCUUUACUAUUCUAGUCAAUGAAUUCACCAACAUUUAUUUGCAGUUGAUAGGGCUUGUUACGGGCAUGGUUUUAUAGGGGUUUAUUACACUAACAUGGUUGACAAUGUGUGAAAAAGUGGUGAAUCUGAGUGUGCAGGAGCUAUAAAGUGUAGAAGCGGCAAGUGCAAGAACAACUUGAUCAACUCGGAAAAGAAGUGAAAAAAUGGCCAGAAAUGAAGAUAAGUUGAUCAGUUGCGUACAAACAGUGAAGCCUGCCUAGCCGACAAGUUGAUCAAAUGGGCCCAAUGCCAUCCUAUAAAUAUGGAGAGAGUGCACAUAAGAAGAGAGCUCGACACCAUCAUCACCUUCAGUCACUUCAUUUUCAUAUUUUAGCAUGGAGUAAGAAGUGUUAGCAACAAUCGGAGUCGUUGGUUCCACCUCUACUUUCAUCUCUUCUUCCUCGCCAAGGAAGGAGGGACCUGGAUCUGCCUAGAAGUCUUCGUAGUUUGUGUCUUUCUUACACCCCGAGGGGUCAAAACAAUUUCCAUUCUGUUUUUAGUUCAUCUUUUCCAUAGCUUAGUUGCUUUUAAUGUUUUGCUCCUAGUUGUCACUCUAGUUAUAUUUCUGUUGUUGAUCGCUCUUUAAAUCCUUAUUUGAAAUUCUGGUUUAGUUACGUUUAUCGAAGAUUGUUUAUGAAAUGGAGUUUUUAAUGCAAGUUGUUUUGGACCUGA
Salvia splendens (bonfire salvia) is the source of this 5114-nucleotide long non-coding RNA. RefSeq lists it as uncharacterized. The transcript has 2 exons. NCBI's taxonomy places the organism in Eukaryota, Viridiplantae, Streptophyta, Magnoliopsida, Lamiales, Lamiaceae. The record is from RefSeq and is a predicted model, not a curated record.